Molecule: transfer RNA, 72 nt
Filed under: Telenomus dignus
Lineage: Eukaryota; Metazoa; Arthropoda; Insecta; Hymenoptera; Scelionidae
Description: tRNA-Lys
Rfam family: tRNA
About the family: Transfer RNA (tRNA) molecules are approximately 80 nucleotides in length.
Source: RNAcentral
CAUUAAGUAACUUAAAUGUAAAGUAUUAAUCUCUUAAAUUAAAUAUUGUUAAUUAACAAAUAACCUUAAUGA